This 485-nucleotide ribosomal RNA is filed under the name uncultured bacterium. RNAcentral describes it as "partial 16S ribosomal RNA". It matches the Rfam family "Bacterial small subunit ribosomal RNA", at positions 28 to 507 of the family's 1533-position model. The record is from RNAcentral.
GAUGAACGCUGGCGGCGUGCUUAACACAUGCAAGUCGAACGGGAUCCAAGGGGUGCUUGCACUUUUUGGUGAGAGUGGCGAACGGGUGAGUAACACGUGAGUAACCUGUCCUUUUCUUUGGGAUAAGCAUUCGAAAGGGUGUUUAAUACCUUAUGUUCUGUCUGCCUCGCAUGGGGUGGGUGGGAAAGGCUUUGGCCGGAUUUGGGUGGGCUCGCGGUCUAUCAGCUUGUUGGUGGGGUGAUGGCUUACCAAGGCUUUGACGGGUAGCCGGCCUGAGAGGGUGGUCGGUCACACUGGGACUGAGAUACGGCCCAGACUCCUGCGGGAGGCAGCAGUGGGGGAUAUUGCACAAUGGGCGAAAGCCUGAUGCAGCGACGCCGCGUGGGGGAUGAAGGCCUUCGGGUUGUAAACUUCUUUUGCUCUGAACAAGGCAUGCCAGUGGGUGUGUUGAGUGUAGGGGUUGAUUAGCGCCGGCUAACUACGUG